Molecule: ribosomal RNA, 275 nt
Filed under: uncultured bacterium
Lineage: Bacteria
Description: partial 16S ribosomal RNA
Rfam family: Bacterial small subunit ribosomal RNA
Source: RNAcentral
AGCGAACGCUGGCGGCAGGCUUAACACAUGCAAGUCGAGCGGAUGUAGCAAUACAUCAGCGGCAGACGGGAGAGUAACACGUGGGAACGUACCCUUCAGUUCGGAACAACCCAGGGAAACUUGGGCUAAUACCGGAUACGUCCGUAAGGAGAAAGAUUUAUCGCUGAAGGAUCGGCCCGCGUCUGAUUAGCUAGUUGGUGAGGUAACGGCUCACCAAGGCGACGAUCAGUAGCUGGUCUGAGAGGAUGAUCAGCCUCACUGGGACUGAGACACGG